Molecule: transfer RNA, 73 nt
Organism: Rozella allomycis CSF55
Lineage: Eukaryota; Fungi; Rozellomycota
Rfam family: tRNA
About the family: Transfer RNA (tRNA) molecules are approximately 80 nucleotides in length. Their secondary structure includes four short double-helical elements and three loops (D, anti-codon, and T loops).
Source: Rfam
GGCUUUGUGGUCUAGGUGGUAUGAUUCUUGCUUAGGGUGCAAGAGGUCCCGGGUUCGAAUCCCGGCAAAGCCC